RNAcentral lists this ribosomal RNA (555 nucleotides) under Eualus gaimardii. RNAcentral's name for it is "partial 12S ribosomal RNA". The stretch from base 196 to 555 matches the Rfam family "Microsporidia small subunit ribosomal RNA", at positions 752 to 1216 of the family's 1311-position model. Lineage: Eukaryota; Metazoa; Arthropoda; Malacostraca; Decapoda; Hippolytidae. The record is from RNAcentral.
UGAUUAAAUAAGAGGAGGUUUUAGGUGUGGGGUAAGGGAUUGUUUGUUGGCUUCGCGCGUUACUUUAAGAAUAAAAAAGUGAAAUUUAGUAUUUGUCUUGAGCAGGGCGCUCCGCUUAGCAUUGAAGCCCACAAGAGUUAGGGUUAAAAUAGGAUUAGAUACCCUACUAUACUAUCUUGAAAUUAACAAAACACCGGGUAGUAACAGUUACUGUCUUUAAACCUAAAGAACUUGGCGGUAUCACAUUCUUAUUAGAGGAACCUGUUUCAGAAACGAUAAUCCUCGAAAUAUCUUACUUUUUUUAGUGUGUCAGUUUGUAUACCGCCAUUAUUAGAUUGUUUCGAGAGAAAACUAUUGAAAUCAUUUAUUAAAUGUAUAUAUUAGGUCAAGGUGCAGCUUAUAAAAAAGUGCAAAUGGGUUACAAUUGAUUAAGUUACUGGCUAGGAGAGUGUAAUACUUUUAAAAAUUGGAUUUAAUUGUAAUGUUAUUUUAUUAUGGUGAUUUGAUAUUAGCUCUGUGAUAUGUACACAUCGCCCGUCGCUCUCAUCUUAAAAU